AAAACAUGUCUUUUUGUUAAUAAUUUAAAGUCUAAUCUGCCCACUGAUAAUAUUAAAGGGCUGCAGUAUUUUGACUGUACAAAGGUAGCAUAAUCAAUAGUUUUUUAAUUGGAAACUUGUAUGAAAGAUUUAAUGAAAUAUAAACUGUCUCAUAUUAUUAUUAUUAAAAAUUUAUUUUUUAGUUAAAAAGCUAAAAUAAUUUUAAAAGACGAGAAGACCCUAUAGAGUUUUAUAUUUUUAUUUGUUAAAAAAUUAUAUUAAAAUUAAUAAUUAAAAUAAAUAAAAAUAUUGUAUUGGGGUGAUAAAAAAAUAAAAUUAACUUUUUUAAAAUAAAAUACAUAUAAGUAAGUAUUUGAUCCAUUUAUAAUGAUUAAGAGAAAAAAUUACCUUAGGGAUAACAGCGUAAUAUUUUUUUUUAGUUCAUAUAAAAAAAAAAGUUUGCGACCUCGAUGUUGGAUUAAGAUAAAAUUUAAAUGCAAAAGUUUAAAAUUUUGAUCUGUUCGAUCAUUAAAAUCUUACAUGAUCUGA
RNAcentral lists this ribosomal RNA (528 nucleotides) under Ypthima huebneri. RNAcentral's name for it is "partial 16S ribosomal RNA". The stretch from base 394 to 528 matches the Rfam family "Archaeal large subunit ribosomal RNA", at positions 2542 to 2677 of the family's 2987-position model. Lineage: Eukaryota; Metazoa; Arthropoda; Insecta; Lepidoptera; Nymphalidae. The record is from RNAcentral.